Molecule: long non-coding RNA, 210 nt
Filed under: Helianthus annuus (common sunflower)
Lineage: Eukaryota; Viridiplantae; Streptophyta; Magnoliopsida; Asterales; Asteraceae
Description: sRNA HanXRQr2_Chr14g0647261
Source: RNAcentral
AUGGGGACUCCUAUCAUAAGGAGGCCUAUUCUAGUUGAAAAGAUUGCUAGGACCCUUUGUACCGAACCUUAUAAUAGGCUGGGAUUACAGGUCGGCUAGAAUGAAGGCUAAGGAAUUUGCACUCCUGAAGCUUAAGGCCUAUGAUGUCUAAAGCUUUGUUUAUUUGGAUCCUGCCCGUGGGCUUGUAUCGAACGCUUGUAAUACUUUUAU